CGGGACACGUGGUAUCCUGUCUGAAUAUGGGGGGACCAUCCUCCAAGGCUAAAUACUCCUGACUGACCGAUAGUGAACCAGUACCGUGAGGGAAAGGCGAAAAGAACCCCGGCGAGGGGAGUGAAAAAGAACCUGAAACCGUGUACGUACAAGCAGUGGGAGCACAGAGCAAUCUGUGUGACUGCGUACCUUUUGUAUAAUGGGUCAGCGACUUAUAUUCUGUAGCAAGGUUAACCGAAUAGGGGAGCCGAAGGGAAACCGAGUCUUAACUGGGCGUUAAGUUGCAGGGUAUAGACCCGAAACCCGGUGAUCUAGCCAUGGGCAGGUUGAAGGUUGGGUAACACUAACUGGAGGACCGAACCGACUAAUGUUGAAAAAUUAGCGGAUGACUUGUGGCUGGGGGUGAAAGGCCAAUCAAACCGGGAGAUAGCUGGUUCUCCCCGAAAGCUAUUUAGGUAGCGCCUCGUGAAUUCAUCUCCGGGGGUAGAGCACUGUUUCGGCAAGGGGGUCAUCCCGACUUACCAACCCGAUGCAAACUGCGAAUACCGGAGAAUGUUAUCACGGGAGACACACGGCGGGUGCUAACGUCCGUCGUGAAGAGGGAAACAACCCAGACCGCCAGCUAAGGUCCCAAAGUCAUGGUUAAGUGGGAAACGAUGUGGGAAGGCCCAGACAGCCAGGAUGUUGGCUUAGAAGCAGCCAUCAUUUAAAGAAAGCGUAAUAGCUCACUGGUCGAGUCGGCCUGCGCGGAAGAUGUAACGGGGCUAAACCAUGCACCGAAGCUGCGGCAGCGACGCUUAUGCGUUGUUGGGUAGGGGAGCGUUCUGUAAGCCUGCGAAGGUGUGCUGUGAGGCAUGCUGGAGGUAUCAGAAGUGCGAAUGCUGACAUAAGUAACGAUAAAGCGGGUGAAAAGCCCGCUCGCCGGAAGACCAAGGGUUCCUGUCCAACGUUAAUCGGGGCAGGGUGAGUCGACCCCUAAGGCGAGGCCGAAAGGCGUAGUCGAUGGGAAACAGGUUAAUAUUCCUGUACUUGGUGUUACUGCGAAGGGGGGACGGAGAAGGCUAUGUUGGCCGGGCGACGGUUGUCCCGGUUUAAGCGUGUAGGCUGGU
RNAcentral lists this ribosomal RNA (1109 nucleotides) under Escherichia coli. RNAcentral describes it as "partial 23S ribosomal RNA". It matches the Rfam family "Bacterial large subunit ribosomal RNA", at positions 418 to 1529 of the family's 2925-position model. The record is from RNAcentral. Lineage: Bacteria; Pseudomonadati; Pseudomonadota; Gammaproteobacteria; Enterobacterales; Enterobacteriaceae.